RNAcentral lists this unclassified non-coding RNA (212 nucleotides) under uncultured Sporidiobolales. RNAcentral describes it as "sequence contains ITS2". The record is from RNAcentral. Lineage: Eukaryota; Fungi; Basidiomycota; Microbotryomycetes; Sporidiobolales.
ACUCUUCAACCCACCGGUUCCUUGUUGAACCGAGUUGGUGUUUGGAUUUUGAGUGUUGCAAGUCUCGCAAGAGACGUUGCUCAUUCGUAAUACAUUAGCGUCACAAUUUCGUAAUCGGAUUGACUCAGCGUAAUAAGACUAUUUGCUGAGGACACCUCACGGUGGCCGAGAAUGAAGAGCUGGAAGCUUCAAACCCCUCUAGUCAACUUUAG